UACAGAGGGGGCAAGCGUUGUUCGGAAUUACUGGGCGUAAAGGGCGCGUAGGUGGCCUUCUAAGUCGAACGUGAAAUCCCUGGGCUCAACCCAGGAACUGCGUCCGAUACUGGAAGGCUUGAAUCCGGGAGAGGGAUGCGGAAUUCCAGGUGUAGCGGUGAAAUGCGUAGAUAUCUGGAGGAACACCGGUGGCGAAGGCGGGUCUCUGGGCCGAUACUGACGCUGAGGAGCGAAAGCGUGGGGAGCGAACAGG
Molecule: ribosomal RNA, 253 nt
Filed under: uncultured bacterium
Lineage: Bacteria
Description: partial 16S ribosomal RNA
Rfam family: Bacterial small subunit ribosomal RNA
Source: RNAcentral